GAAAGUAAAUAAGGGCGUAUGGCGGAUGCCUAGGCUCAUCCAGGCGAUGAAGGACGUGAUAAGCUGCGAUAAUCCGCGGGUAGGUGCAAAUGACCCUUGAUCCGCGGGUCUCCGAAUGGGACAACCCGGGUAUCUGAAGGAUACCCAUCCGCACUGUUGCGGAAGCUAACGGAGGGAACUGAAACAUCUUAGUACCUCCAGGAAGAGAAAAUAAUUUAAUGAUUCCCCCAGUAGCGGCGAGCGACCGGGGAAGAGCCCAAACCGUUCGUGUCCUUUGGGCAUGUGCGGGGUUGUAGGACCGCGUUGUUGUACGUUAUGCAGGGAGGAGAGCCUUCUGGAAAGAAGGACCACAGAGGGUGAUAGUCCCGUAUCCGAACCUGCAUGCGGCAUAGCGAUAUCCUGAGUAGCGCGGGGCACGAGAAAUCCUGCGUGAAUCUGCCGGGACCAUCCGGCAAGGCUAAAUACUCGGAUGAGACCGAUAGUGUACCAGUACCGUGAGGGAAAGGUGAAAAGCACUUCGACAAGAAGGGUGAAAUAGUUCCUGAAACCAUACGCCUACAAGCGGUCGGAGCACCAUUUAUUGGUGUGACGGCGUGCCUUUUGCAUAAUGAACCUACGAGUUGCCAUCACCGGCGAGGCUAAGCCACACGAGUGGCGCACCCGCAGUGAAAGCGAGCCUGAAUAGGGCGUUUUAGUCGGUGGGGGCAGACGCGAAACCAAGUGAUCUACACAUGUCCAGGCUGAAGUCCGGGUAACACCUGAUGGAGGGCCGCACCAGUAAGCGUUGAAAAGCUUUUGGAUGAGGUGUGUGUAGGAGUGAAAGGCCAAUCAAACUUGGAGAUAGCUCGUACUCCCCGAAAGGCAUUUAGGUGCCGCGUGUGGCGAUCCGCAUGAGAGGUAGAGCGACCGAUAGGUCGAGAGGGCUUCACCGCCUAUCAAGACCUGACGAACUCCGAAUGCUCAUGCGCCGCAGCCAUGCAGUAAGGGUGCGGGUGCUAAGGCCCGUACCCGAGAGGAGAAGAAUCCGGACCGCCGUCUAAGGUCCCCGAGUUCUGCCUGAGUUAGUCUAACGAAGUGCGGUCCCCGUGACAGCCAGGAUGUUGGCUUGGAAGCAGCCAUUCAUUCAAAGAGUGCGUAACAGCUCACUGGUCGAGGGUCCGUGCGUGGAUAAUAAUCGGGUAUAAGGCAGACACCGAAGGCGCGGGAUAGUAAUGUAUAUUAAAAGUAUCGGUAGGGGAGCAUUCCAUGUACGCAGAAUGCGGGGAGACGAUUCCCGCUGGAGUGUAUGGAAAAGCAAAUGUAGGUAUAAGUAACGAUUAGGGGGAUGAGAACUCCCCCCGCCGAAAGUCUAAGGUUUCCCGGGCAAUGCCAGUCAUCCCGGGGUUAGUCGGGUCCUAAGCCUCAUCCUAAUGGAGAGGGCGAUGGCAGAAACGGUUAACAUUCCGUUACUGCCGGCAGGAGCGAUGUGGAGACGGAGCAGUGACACGGCCGCGGGGCGACGGAAGUCCCCGUUGAAUGGUGUAGGCUGAGACCGGGGCAGGCAAAUCCACCCUGGGAGCCGAACCUGAUAGUAUGGCUCUCCCCUCGGGGAGGGCCAAUAGUGCCGGUAAUCAAGCUUCCAAGAAAAUCCGCUAAGCUUCAUCCUGUCGGCACCCGUACCGCAAACCGACACAGGUAGACGGGUUGAAUAUACUCAGGCGUUGAGAGAUUCAUGGUUAAGGAACUAGGCAAACUGACCCUGUAACUUCGGGAUAAAGGGUCCUCGUUUUAUUGACGAGGCGCAGAGAAUAGGUCCAGGCAACUGUUUAACAAAAACACAGGGCUGUGCGAACACGAAAGUAGAAGUAUACAGCCUGACACCUGCCCGGUGCCGGAAGGUUAAGAGGAGACGUCAUCCCAUUUAUGGGUGCCGCGUUGAAUUGAAGCCCCGGUAAACGGCGGCCGUAACUAUAACGGUCCUAAGGUAGCGAAAUUCCUUGUCGGGUAAGUUCCGACCUGCACGAAUGGCGUAAUGAU
RNAcentral lists this ribosomal RNA (2016 nucleotides) under human gut metagenome. RNAcentral's name for it is "bacterial LSU rRNA". It matches the Rfam family "Bacterial large subunit ribosomal RNA", at positions 1 to 2008 of the family's 2925-position model. The record is from RNAcentral.